Molecule: ribosomal RNA, 439 nt
Filed under: uncultured bacterium
Lineage: Bacteria
Description: partial 16S ribosomal RNA
Rfam family: Bacterial small subunit ribosomal RNA
Source: RNAcentral
CUACGGGACGCUCCAGUGAGGAAUAUUGCACAAUGGGGGGAACCCUGAUGCAGCAACGCCGCGUGGAGGAUGACGCAUUUCGGUGUGUAAACUCCUUUUAUAUGUCAAGAAAAUGACGGUAGGAUAUGAAUAAGCACCGGCUAACUCCGUGCCAGCAGCCGCGGUAAUACGGAGGGUGCAAGCGUUAAUCGGAAUCACUGGGCGUAAAGGAUGCGUAGGCCGAUAGUCAAGUCAAAAGUGAAAUCCCACGGCUCAACCGUGGAACUGCUUUCGAAACUGGUUAUCUAGAAUAUGGGAGAGGUAGAUGGAAUUAGUGGUGUAGGGGUAAAAUCCGUAGAUAUCACUAGGAAUACCGAUUGCGAAGGCGAUCUACUGGAACAUAAUUGACGCUGAGGCAUGAAAGCGUGGGGAGCAAACAGGAUUAGAUACCCCAGUAGUC